AAUAUUGGACACUGGGCGAAAGCCUGAUUUAGCCAUGACGCGUGUGUGAAGAAGGUCUUCGGUUAUUAAAGCACUUUAAGUUGGGAGGAAGGGUUGUAGGUUAAUACGCUGCAAUGUUGACGUUACCAACAGAAUAAGCACCGGCUAACAUCGUGCCAGCAGCCGCGGUAAUACGAAGGGUGCAAGCGUUAAUCGGAAUUACUUGGCGUAAAGCGCGCGUAGGUGGUUCGUUAAGUUGGAAGUGAAAGCCCCUGGCUUAACCUGGGAAUUGCUUUCAAAACUGACGAGCUAGAGUACGGUAGAGGGUAGUGGAAUUUCCUGUGUAGCGGUGAAAUGCGUAGAUAUAGGAAGGAACAUCAGUGGCGAAGGCGACUACCUGGACUGAUACUGACACUGAGAUGCGAAAGCGUGGGGAGCAAACAGG
Molecule: ribosomal RNA, 424 nt
Filed under: uncultured bacterium
Lineage: Bacteria
Description: partial 16S ribosomal RNA
Rfam family: Bacterial small subunit ribosomal RNA
Source: RNAcentral